GAUGAACGCUGGCGGCGUGCCUAAUACAUGCAAGUCGAGCGAACAGACGAGGAGCUUGCUCCUUUGACGUUAGCGGCGGACGGGUGAGUAACACGUGGAUAACCUACCUAUAAGACUGGGAUAACUUCGGGAAACCGGAGCUAAUACCGGAUAACAUGUUGAACCGCAUGGUUCAACAGUGAAAGACGGUCUUGCUGUCACUUAUAGAUGGAUCCGCGCCGCAUUAGCUAGUUGGUAAGGUAACGGCUUACCAAGGCAACGAUGCGUAGCCGACCUGAGAGGGUGAUCGGCCACACUGGAACUGAGACACGGUCCAGACUCCUACGGGAGGCAGCAGUAGGGUAUCUUCCGCAAUGGGCGAAAGCCUGACGGAGCAACGCCGCGUGAGUGAAGAAGGUCUUCGGAUCGUAAAACUCUGUUAUUAGGGAAGAACAAAUGUGUAAGUAACUAUGCACGUCUUGACGGUACCUAAUCAGAAAGCCACGGCUAACUACGUG
This 497-nucleotide ribosomal RNA is filed under the name uncultured bacterium. RNAcentral's name for it is "partial 16S ribosomal RNA". It matches the Rfam family "Bacterial small subunit ribosomal RNA", at positions 28 to 507 of the family's 1533-position model. The record is from RNAcentral.